This 254-nucleotide ribosomal RNA is filed under the name uncultured bacterium. Its description in RNAcentral is "partial 16S ribosomal RNA". It matches the Rfam family "Bacterial small subunit ribosomal RNA", at positions 524 to 777 of the family's 1533-position model. The record is from RNAcentral.
UACGGGGGGAGCAAGCGUUGUUCGGAUUUAUUGGGCGUAAAGGGCGCGUAGGCGGCCACGCACGUCCGUUGUGAAAUCGCCCGGCUCAACUGGGCGGGGUCAGCGGAUACGGUGUGGCUAGAGCAAGCUAGGGGGCAAUGGAAUUCCCGGUGUAGUGGUGGAAUGCGUAGAUAUCGGGAGGAACACCAGUGGCGAAGGCGACUACCUGGCCUGUUCUUGACGCUGAGGCGCGAAAGCUAGGGGAGCAAACGGGG